AGAGUUUGAUCAUGGCUCAGAACGAACGCUGGCGGCAGGCCUAACACAUGCAAGUCGAACGUGAAGCCACCUUCGGGUGGUGGAAAGUGGCAGACGGGUGAGUAACGCGUGGGAACGUGCCUUUCGGUUCGGGAUAACCCAGGGAAACUUGGGCUAAUACCGGAUACGCCCUUCGGGGGAAAGAUUCAUUGCCGAAAGAUCGGCCCGCGUCGGAUUAGCUAGUUGGUGGGGUAAAAGCCUACCAAGGCGACGAUCCGUAGCUGGUCUGAGGGGAUGACCAGCCACACUGGGACUGAGACACGGCCCAGACUCCUACGGGAGGCAGCAGUGGGGAAUAUUGGACAAUGGGCGCAGGCCUGAUCCAGCCAUGCCGCGUGGGUGAAGGAGGCCCUAGGGUUGUAAACCCCUUUCAGCGGGGAAGAUAAUGACGGUACCCGCAGAAGAAGCCCCGGCUAACUCCGUGCCAGCAGCCGCGGUAAUACGGAGGGGGCUAGCGUUGUUCGGAAUUACUGGGCGUAAAGCGCGCGUAGGCGGACCUGCAAGUCGGGGGUGAAAGCCCGAGGCUCAACCUCGGAACUGCCUUCGAUACUGCGGGUCUCGAGUCCAGGAGAGGUGAGUGGAAUUCCUAGUGUAGA
This 635-nucleotide ribosomal RNA is filed under the name uncultured bacterium. RNAcentral's name for it is "bacterial SSU rRNA". It matches the Rfam family "Bacterial small subunit ribosomal RNA", at positions 8 to 679 of the family's 1533-position model. The record is from RNAcentral.